Molecule: ribosomal RNA, 473 nt
Filed under: uncultured bacterium
Lineage: Bacteria
Description: bacterial SSU rRNA
Rfam family: Bacterial small subunit ribosomal RNA
Source: RNAcentral
UUCUGGCUCAGGAUGAACGCUGGCGGCGUGCCUAACACAUGCAAGUCGAGCGAUUACUUCGGUAAAGAGCGGCGGACGGGUGAGUAACGCGUGGGUAACCUGCCUCAUACACAUGGAUAACAUACCGAAAGGUAUGCUAAUACAGGAUAAUAUAAGAGAUUCACAUGGAUUUUUUAUCAAAGCUCCGGCGGUAUGAGAUGGACCCGCGUCUGAUUAGCUAGUUGGUAAGGUAAUGGCUUACCAAGGCGACGAUCAGUAGCCGACCUGAGAGGGUGAUCGGCCACAUUGGAACUGAGACACGGUCCAAACUCCUACGGGAGGCAGCAGUGGGGAAUAUUGCACAAUGGGCGAAAGCCUGAUGCAGCAACGCCGCGUGAGUGAUGAAGGCCUUCGGGUCGUAAAACUCUGUCCUCAAGGAAGAUAAUGACGGUACUUGAGGAGGAAGCCCCGGCUAACUACGUGCCAGCCGCAGC